RNAcentral lists this ribosomal RNA (229 nucleotides) under uncultured bacterium. RNAcentral's name for it is "partial 16S ribosomal RNA". It matches the Rfam family "Bacterial small subunit ribosomal RNA", at positions 568 to 796 of the family's 1533-position model. The record is from RNAcentral.
UGCGUAGGCGGAAUAUUAAGUCAGUGGUGAAAUCCUGCGGCUCAACCGUAGAACUGCCAUUGAUACUGAUAUUCUUGAAUGUAGUUGAGGUAGGCGGAAUGUGUAAUGUAGCGGUGAAAUGCUUAGAUAUUACACAGAACACCGAUUGCGAAGGCAGCUUACUAAACUAUGAUUGACGCUGAGGUACGAAAGCGUAGGGAGCGAACAGGAUUAGAUACCCUGGUAGUCC